RNAcentral lists this ribosomal RNA (250 nucleotides) under uncultured Anoxybacillus sp. RNAcentral's name for it is "partial 16S ribosomal RNA". It matches the Rfam family "Bacterial small subunit ribosomal RNA", at positions 1133 to 1382 of the family's 1533-position model. Lineage: Bacteria; Bacillati; Bacillota; Bacilli; Caryophanales; Anoxybacillaceae. The record is from RNAcentral.
GGGCACUCUAAGGUGACUGCCGGCUAAAAGUCGGAGGAAGGUGGGGAUGACGUCAAAUCAUCAUGCCCCUUAUGACCUGGGCUACACACGUGCUACAAUGGGCGGUACAAAGGGUCGCGAACCCGCGAGGGGGAGCCAAUCCCAAAAAGCCGCUCUCAGUUCGGAUUGCAGGCUGCAACUCGCCUGCAUGAAGCCGGAAUCGCUAGUAAUCGCGGAUCAGCAUGCCGCGGUGAAUACGUUCCCGGGCCUU